RNAcentral lists this transfer RNA (65 nucleotides) under Laetmonice producta. RNAcentral's name for it is "tRNA-Thr". Lineage: Eukaryota; Metazoa; Annelida; Polychaeta; Phyllodocida; Aphroditidae. The record is from RNAcentral.
GCCUUAAAAGCUCAUGUAGCAUUGGUUUUGUAAAUCAAAGGUAGAACUUAACAUUUCUUAAGGCU